UAAUAAUACGGGUGUUAGAUUCAUGGGGAUCCCAUUAGUACUCGAGGAACAAGAAAGAAAACUAUCCGUUAACAGCCUAGAAAUAUCAAAUCGACAUCACAAUCCUUUUCCCUGCAGGAAAAUAGUAACGUUAAAAAACAACCCGUCUGUUACACUUCCACUUCAUUGAUUUUGAUUUACAGUACACGAAAUAAUUCCUUGAUCUUUCAAGUUCCUCUUUUCUUUGCCUGUUAAAUUCUGUAACAACACUGGAGUUCCACGGUGGAGACAAAGUAGAAGUAUGUAGCGAAGAGGAAGGAUUUCUUGGAUCAUAUUAUGCAGCGACAACGGUCAAGAACUUAGUGGAAGAGGAAGACAUGUCAAAGCAUCUGAUAGAGACACACCGCAAGCCCAGCGCUAAAACACACCGCUGGAGCACUCUGCUCAACGGCCUUAACCUGCGCACCCACCCAACACCUAAACCAUUAACUCGCCCGCUCGCCCGCUCAAACCCAGUCCUCCUCAUCUUCUUCUUCUUCAAGCCAAACCCCUUUCUAGUCGAUGGAGUGACAAUUUCUAAGAAAACUCCGCUAAUGGUGCUGCUCUUUAAUCUCUUUGAUAGAAGGCGGAUGAUUCUGUAAUUUCAGGAUGUAUAUAAAGCAGGCAUUUAACCUGCUUGCUUAGUUCUCUUCAUUGUGCAACCAACAAUAGGCAGGAGAACCAAAAUCAUAUCGGAUCUGCUGAUAUCUGUUUCAAAAGAAUAGAGACAAGCCAGGAUUAAAGUUCACCAAGAUUCCUUAAGACUUGAUUUCAACUUGUUAGUUAAUAGCAUUUGCAUAUGGCUUUAGCUGGAAUCUUGAUACUGGCAUUUUUUUUUUCAGGCAUUUAACCUGCUUGCUUAGUUCUCUUCAUUGUGCAACCAACAAUAGGCAGGAGAACCAAAAUCAUAUCGGAUCUGCUGAUAUCUGUUUCAAAAGAAUAGAGACAAGCCAGGAUUAAAGUUCACCAAGAUUCCUUAAGACUUGGUAGUGUGGGUGUUAUCGGGUAUACUCACAUCUUUUUAAGCUUGUCCUGAAUGUGCUUGAACGAUCUCUCUUGGUGUUCUUUGUGAGUGAUAAAAGUAGAGAUAAAAGAUAUUGAUAAAAAAGACCACCAAAUUAGAUAAUCCAGGCUGCAAGUUUUGGAUUGUAUAACAUGCAUGAUGCGUUGAAGAAAUAACAAAAAAAGUAAAAGGAUUGGUGAAUCCAAUGUAUAUCUUGACAACUUCCUAUUCAAUGGAACAAUGCAAACUGCUUCUUGGCUGGCUUUUUUACCUCUUGCUCAGCUCUUUUUGGCUGGCUUUCCCCCCCUUCUAUUCAGCUUAUGUUGGUGGGCUUGGGCAAGGAGCAUGCUUAUAUUUUUUUUCUUGUGUUAAUUUCCCUUCAUUCGGCAUAGGACAUUAUGUUUUUUGGUUUGGGUUUCAUUUGCUGGGGCUGGGAUUGGGGCUGCUAGCUAUUGGGUUAAGCUCAUCUUCUCCUUUGUUUAUGUGAAUUUUUUGUGUCUCUCUCUCCUUGUUUUCCUGCACUCCUCUUCUCUUUCUCCAUCGAAGCCACCAAGAACUGAGUUGUUAGGGUAAGGUGGGAUUGCUUUUGUGUCUUUAUUUGCCUUGCAAUGAUGGCGUGACUUAUCAGCCUUCUUUUUCUUUCCUUUUGUCUUGGUUUUGGCUUGCUGUUUUUGGGGGAUUUGGUGCUGAUC
This is a long non-coding RNA of Populus nigra (black poplar), 1713 nucleotides long. RefSeq lists it as uncharacterized. NCBI's taxonomy places the organism in Eukaryota, Viridiplantae, Streptophyta, Magnoliopsida, Malpighiales, Salicaceae. The transcript is spliced from 5 exons. The record is from RefSeq and is a predicted model, not a curated record.